GGAGAGGAGAGAGGGGUUGGAGGCAGUUGGGAGUGGGAGGGUGCUGAGAGCUGCCUGCAGGAGAAACCUGCACAGCCCUUGACAAGGUAAGUCUCUGGCUGCAGGGCCAUGCAGCUGCAGCUCCUGGAAGGGUCUCAUGCUGGGUCUUGUUUCUGGGAGGGCGGUGGGCAAUGCAGUAGGCUGUGAGAGUCCUGCUGGAUUGCACUGCGAGGUGAGGAAGUCUGGCAGAAGCCCCUUGGAGUGGCCUAAGCCAGGUGCCCCUGACACCCUAGAAGCCUCGAACACCCUGCUGGUGAUGCAGGGCUCUCUCUCAGCUGCCCCAUAGCUCCUGCUGCAUGGAGGUGCCCCUUGGCAGGGCCCUGGUGGUGGCAGGGUGCUGCAGGGCAGUGCUGAGCACAGCCGCAUGGGAUGGGGUCUGUGAGCACAGGCGGGGGAAAGAAGAGUUUGGCCAAGAUCAGCAGGAACAGAGUGGCCAAGAAUCCUCUAGGUACAGCAUGUUGUGUGCCUGGGAUACUGGAAUACCCCAGCGUGUGGAUAUUCACCUGUCUGUGGGGUGUUUUCCUGGGCUUCAGGCUGCUCUCCAGCAGGAUGCAGCUCUCUCGUGGCAUCCUUGUGGCAUGCAGGCGUCCCAAGGAGAAGACACCUCCUUGCUAAGGCCAUGUCCGUGCUGCUGGAUGUCUGUCUGUGGGCAGCUGGAGUGAGGCCUCGGCAGCCCUGGCUAGGGGGGAAGAGCUGAGAUCCUGCUCAGGCCCCCAGGGCCAAGUGUGGUCGGAUGAGUUGUUUGCAAAAAGACUGCAUGGCUCAUUGAUCUGACAAGUGGACUGCACUUGAGUUUCCCCCAUGGUCCUGCUUCCCUCCUGCUGCACAGCAGGAAGGACUCCUCUGGAGCCCACAGCAGCCCCUGCUCCCAGUGUCACACGCAGCCAGCACCACCCAGAGCUCAAGCAAGAGAGCUGCAGAAAGGUUCUCAUGCAAAGAGAGAGGCUUAUCUGCGGGCUUUCCAGGAGAUGAAAUAGGUUUUCCUCAUUGAAGUCUGUUCUAUUUUUUUUUU
This is a non-coding RNA of Anas platyrhynchos (mallard), 1051 nucleotides long. The record is from RefSeq and is a predicted model, not a curated record. Lineage: Eukaryota; Metazoa; Chordata; Aves; Anseriformes; Anatidae.